This 255-nucleotide ribosomal RNA is filed under the name Clostridioides difficile. RNAcentral describes it as "partial 23S ribosomal RNA". It matches the Rfam family "Bacterial large subunit ribosomal RNA", at positions 1738 to 2004 of the family's 2925-position model. Lineage: Bacteria; Bacillati; Bacillota; Clostridia; Peptostreptococcales; Peptostreptococcaceae. The record is from RNAcentral.
GGGAUAAGGGGUGCCACCAUCCGGUGGCCGCAGAGAAUAGGCCCAAGCGACUGUUUACCAAAAACAUAGGUUUCUGCUAAGUCGCAAGACGAUGUAUAGGAGCUGACGCCUGCCCGGUGCUGGAAGGGUAAGGGGAUCUGUUAGAGCAAUCGAAGCAGUGAACUUAAGCCCCAGUAAACGGCGGCCGUAACUAUAACGGUCCUAAGGUAGCGAAAUUCCUUGUCGGGUAAGUUCCGACCCGCACGAAAGGCGUAA